CCUACGGGAGGCAGCAGUGGGGAAUAUUGGGCAAUGGAGGAAACUCUGACCCAGCGACGCCGCGUGCGGGAUGAAGGCCUUCGGGUUGUAAACCGCUUUCAGCAGGGAAGAAGCGAAAGUGACGGUACCUGCAGAAGAAGCACCGGCUAACUAUGUGCCAGCAGCCGCGGUAAUACAUAGGGUGCAAGCGUUGUCCGGAAUUAUUGGGCGUAAAGAGCUCGUAGGUGGUUCGUCACGUCGGAUGUGAAAAUCUGGGGCUUAACCCCAGACCUGCAUUCGAUACGGGCGAGCUUGAGUAUGGUAGGGGAGUCUGGAAUUCCUGGUGUAGCGGUGGAAUGCGCAGAUAUCAGGAGGAACACCAAUGGCGAAAGGCAGGACUCUGGGCCAUUACUGACACUGAGGAGCGAAAGCGUGGGGAGCGAACAGGAUUAGAUACCCUGGUAGUCCACGCCGUAAACGGUGGGCACUAGUUGUGGGGACCUUCCACGGUCUCUGCGACGCAGCUAACGCAUUAAGUGCCCCGCCUGGGGAGUACGAUCGCAAGAAUUAAAACUUAAAAUUGAAAUUGAACGG
Molecule: ribosomal RNA, 573 nt
Filed under: uncultured bacterium
Lineage: Bacteria
Description: bacterial SSU rRNA
Rfam family: Bacterial small subunit ribosomal RNA
Source: RNAcentral